This 242-nucleotide unclassified non-coding RNA is filed under the name plant metagenome. RNAcentral describes it as "partial contains small subunit ribosomal RNA and internal transcribed spacer 1". The stretch from base 1 to 46 matches the Rfam family "Eukaryotic small subunit ribosomal RNA", at positions 1786 to 1831 of the family's 1831-position model. The record is from RNAcentral.
AAGUCGUAACAAGGUUUCCGUAGGUGAACCUGCGGAAGGAUCAUUAAAGAGUGAGGGUCUUUUACAGGCUCGACCUCCCAACCCUUUGUUUACCAAACCCAUGUUGCUUCGGCGGACCCGUCCGAGAGGACCGCCGGACGAUCCCUAGGGAGAGUCUGGCCCGCGUCCGUCGAUAGCCCAAUUUAAACUCUUGAAUAAAUCGUGUAUUACUUCUGAAUCAAAACACAAAUAAAAAAGCAAAA